RNAcentral lists this ribosomal RNA (406 nucleotides) under uncultured bacterium. RNAcentral's name for it is "partial 16S ribosomal RNA". It matches the Rfam family "Bacterial small subunit ribosomal RNA", at positions 28 to 526 of the family's 1533-position model. The record is from RNAcentral.
GAUGAACGCUAGCUACAGGCUUAACACAUGCAAGUCGAGGGACCGGCGCACGGGUGAGUAACACGUAUCCAACCUGCCCUUUACUCGGGGAUAGCCUUUCGCAAGAAAGAUUAAUACCCGAUAUAAAGGAUGGGGAUGCGUUCGAUUAGGUUGUUGGUGAGGUAACGGCCCACCAAGCCUUCGAUGGAUAGGGGUUCUGAGAGGAAGGUCCCGCACAUUGAAACUGGGAAACGGGCCAAACUCCUACGGGAGGAAGCAGUGAGGAAUAGAGGUAAAUGGGCGGUAGCCUGAACCAGCCAAGUAGCGUGAAGGAUGAAGGCUUAUGGGUCGUAAACUUCUUUUAUAUAAGAAUAUGUAUUAUAUGAAUAAGGAUCGGCUAACUCCGUGCCAGCAGCCGCGGUAAUAC